RNAcentral lists this ribosomal RNA (3183 nucleotides) under Triticum aestivum (bread wheat). RNAcentral's name for it is "partial small subunit ribosomal RNA". The record is from RNAcentral. Lineage: Eukaryota; Viridiplantae; Streptophyta; Magnoliopsida; Poales; Poaceae.
AUGGCUCCUCAAGUUUUUCGCACCCAAUCUCUGGUUCCUCCGUUGCACCAUGAACUCUUUCUUCUCUACACCAUCCUCAUAUUUCUGUCCUCCAACACAAUAGUAUUCACAUCAGCACAAGCUAGCAACAGAUCUGAGAGUGACCGGCAAGCCCUUCUCUGCUUCAAAUCUGGCAUCUCCAAGGGAUCUGCCCGUGUUCUUGGAUCAUGGCGCAAUGACUCGCUCAACUUCUGCGGCUGGCGAGGGGUCACCUGCAGCACCACCCUCCCAAUCCGCGUCGUGUCCCUCCAACUCAGGUCUACGCUGCUCACAGGAACACUAUGCAGUUGCAUGGCAGCCCUUAAUUCUCUAGUUCAGUUGGACCUUUGGAACAAUAAGUUAUCUGGAAGCGUACCUGAAGAGAUAGGUGAGCUUCGGAGCCUCCAAACCCUGAUGCUUGCUGGCAACAGGCUUUCAGGUAACAUCCCUCUGUCAUUAGGUACAGCUGCAUCUCUUAGAUCUGUCAACCUUGCAAACAAUUCUCUUAGCGGAGCUAUUCCUGAUUCCUUAGCAAAUAGUUCGUCACUUAGUGAGAUAAUCCUCUCACGUAAUAACUUAUCUGGGGGGAUCCCAGCCAAUUUGUUCAACUCAUCCAAACUUGCUGCUGUUGACCUCCGGUCGAAUGCUCUCUCUGGGGCUAUCCCACAUUUCCAAAAGACGUCAGCUCUGCAGUUUCUCGAUCUUACAGGGAAUUCACUUUCUGGCACCAUACCAGCAUCUUUAGGAAAUGCCUCAUCCUUGCGUUCACUCCUGCUAGCACAGAACAAGUUAGCAGGAUCAAUUCCGGAAACUAUCGGUCAAAUUCCAAAUCUAAAAAGGGUAGAUCUAAGUAAUAACAUGUUCUCGGGGUAUGUCCCAGCUACCUUGUACAAUGUGUCAUCACUCACAUUCUUUAGCCUAGGCAGCAACAAAUUUACUGGACAGCUACCUUAUGACAUUGGCCACUCACUUCCAAACCUCGAAACAUUAGCAAUGGGACUCAACAAAUUUCGUGGAUCAGUCCCGGAUUCCCUGACCAACAUGUCAAAGCUCCAAGUGCUUGAUAUUUCAAGCAACUUGCUUACUGGCGUAGUGCCAUCUCUAGGAUCCUUGGCAAACUUGAGUCAACUGCUUCUAGGAGAUAAUAAACUCGAAGCUGAUGACUGGGCCUUCCUUACCUCUCUGACCAAUUGCACUCAGUUGUUAAUAUUAUCAAUGGAUGGAAAUAUCCUGAAUGGAAGUUUGCCAAAAGCAGUAGGCAAACUUUCAACAAAGCUUCAGCGGUUAAGCUUUGGAAGAAACCAAAUUUCUGGAAACAUACCAGCUGAGAUAGGGAAGCUUGUAAGUCUCGCUCUGCUUGACAUGGGCCGGAACAUGCUCUCAGGACCAAUUCCCCUGACAGUUUGGAACUUGAGCAAUUUGGUUGUCCUAAAACUUUCCAUGAAUAGGUUGUCAGGUCAGAUUCCAUCAACAGUGGGUAAUCUUGUUCAACUCAGCCAGCUUCAUCUUGAUGAUAAUGAAUUGUCUGGAAACAUACCAGAAAAUAUAGGACAAUGCAAAAGGCUGCUUAUGCUAAACAUGUCAGUUAACCACCUUAAUGGAUCCAUACCAAGAGAACUCUUCAGUAUUUCCUCCCUUUCAUUGGGCUUGGACUUGUCAAACAACAACCUGACUGGGCCAAUACCAUGGGAAGUUAGUAACCUGAUCAAUCUUGGUCUCCUUGAUGUUUCCAACAACAGAUUAUCUGGUAGCCUUCCUUCUGAACUUGGCCUGUGUGUUCAACUGCUAUCCCUUCAGAUCAGAAGCAACAUGCUUAACGGGAGUAUUCCCGAGUCUUUCAGCAAACUGAAGGUCAUACAGCAGAUAGAUCUGUCCGAGAACAAUUUAACUGGUCAAGUUCCACAGUAUUUUGUGAACUUCAGCAGCUUAAAUUAUAUUAAUAUAUCAUACAAUAAAUUUGAAGGGCCAAUCCCGACUGGUGGCAUAUUUCGAAAUUCAGCUGCAGUAUUCCUGCAAGGCAACACAGGCUUAUGUGAAACAGCUGCUGCCAUAUUUGGAUUGCCCAUUUGCCCAACCUCCUCAGCAACAAGAAGGAAGAUCAACGCACGCCUGCUGCUGAUAAUAGCUCCACCAAUUACUAUUGCCGUGAUCUCAUUAUUAUGUGUUGUUGUCACUAUUACGAAGGGAACUAAAGCUCAACCAUCUGAAAGCUUCAAGGAGACAAUGAGGAGGGUGUCAUAUGGAGACAUCCUUAAAGCCACCAAUUGGUUUUCUCUGGUCAACCGGAUCAGUUCAAGUCAUACAGCAUCCGUCUACAUUGGCCGGUUUGAGUUCGAGACAGACCUAGUGGCCAUCAAGGUAUUCCAUCUCAGUGAGCAAGGUUCAAGAAAUAGCUUUUUCACUGAGUGCGAAGUGCUAAAACACACUCGCCACCGCAAUUUGGUUCAAGCUAUCACUCUGUGCUCAACGGUAGAUUUUGAGGGUGAAGAAUUAAAGGCCAUAGUAUAUGAGUUCAUGGCAAACGGUAGCCUGGACAUGUGGAUACACCCAAGGGUGGGUAGCUCAAGGAGGCUGCUGAGCUUGGGCCAGCGGAUAAGUAUUGCUGCUGAUGUGGCUUCUGCUCUGGACUAUAUGCACAACCAGCUGACACCUCCUUUGAUCCACUGCGAUUUGAAGCCUGGCAAUGUUCUGCUGGACUACGACAUGACCUCACGCAUCGGUGACUUCGGGUCCACCAAGUUUCUCUCUUCAAGUAGUGGCGGACCAGAAGGCUUGAUUGGCGUCGGAGGAACGAUUGGAUAUAUUGCACCUGAAUACGGGAUGGGAUGCAAAAUCUCAACAGCUGGUGAUGUGUAUGGUUUCGGGGUGCUGCUACUGGAGAUGCUCACGGCGAGGCGACCGACGGACGCGCUAUGUGGUAACGCUCUCAGCCUUCACAAGUAUGUUGACCUAGCUUUCCCCGACAGAAUUGCUGAGGUUCUAGAUCCCCAUAUGCCAUCUGAGGAGGACGAGGCGGCUGCAUCUCUACGUGUUCAGAAGUACAUUAUACCUCUGGUCAGCAUUGGCCUGAUGUGUACCAUGGAAUCGCCGAAAGAUAGACCAGGAAUGCAUGAUGUCUGUGCUAAAAUUGUUGCCAUAAAAGAGGCAUUUGUUGAGACCUUGUGA